This 427-nucleotide ribosomal RNA is filed under the name uncultured archaeon. RNAcentral describes it as "bacterial SSU rRNA". It matches the Rfam family "Archaeal small subunit ribosomal RNA", at positions 474 to 903 of the family's 1478-position model. The record is from RNAcentral.
UACCAGCUCUCCGAGUGGUAGGGAUGAUUAUUGGGCUUAAAGCGUCCGUAGCCAGCUUAGCAAGUUUCCUGUUAAAUUCAGCGACCUAAUCGUUGAGCCGCGGGAAAUACUACUAGGCUAGGAGGCGGGAGAGGUCGACGGUACUUCUGGGGUAGGGGUGAAAUCCUAUAAUCCCGGGAGGACCACCAGUGGCGAAGGCUGUCGACUAGAACGCGCUCGACGGUGAGGGACGAAAGCUGGGGGAGCGAACCGGAUUAGAUACCCGGGUAGUCCCAGCUGUAAACGAUGCGGGCUAGGUGUUGGGGUGGCUACGUGCCACUUCAGUGCCGCAGGGAAGCCAUUAAGCCCGCCGCCUGGGGAGUACGGCCGCAAGGCUGAACUUAAAGGAAUUGGCGGGGAGCACCACAAGGCGUGAAGCUUGCGGUUC